RNAcentral lists this ribosomal RNA (709 nucleotides) under uncultured bacterium. Its description in RNAcentral is "bacterial SSU rRNA". It matches the Rfam family "Bacterial small subunit ribosomal RNA", at positions 94 to 801 of the family's 1533-position model. The record is from RNAcentral.
ACCGGCGCAAGGGUGCGUAACGCGUGAGCAACAUGCCCGUAUCAGGGGGAUAAUCCAGGGAAACUUGGUCUAAUACCCCAUAGUAAUCAUGGAAGGCAUCUUUUAUGAUUUAAAGCUUAGGUGGAUACGGAUUGGCUCGCGUGACAUUAGUUAGAUGGUAAGGUAACGGCUUACCAUGACUAUGAUGUCUAGGGGUUCUGAGAGGAAGGUCCCCCACACUGGAACUGAGACACGGUCCAGACUCCUACGGGAGGCAGCAGUGAGGAAUAUUGGACAAUGGAUGGAAAUCUGAUCCAGCCAUGCCGCGUGCAGGAAGAAUGUCCUAUGGAUUGUAAACUGCUUUUGUAUGGGAGCAAUAAGGUCUUCGAGAAGGCCGAUGAGAGUACCAUACGAAUAAGCACCGGCUAACUCCGUGCCAGCAGCCGCGGUAAUACGGAGGGUGCAAGCGUUAUCCGGAUUUAUUGGGUUUAAAGGGUGCGUAGGCGGUUAUAUAAGUCAGCGGUGAAAUUUUUCGGCUCAACCGGAAACAUGCCGUUGAUACUGUAUAGCUUGAAUAUGGUUGCUGUGAGUGGAAUGUGUAGUGUAGCGGUGAAAUGCUUAGAUAUUACACAGAAUAUCGAUUGCGAAGGCAACUCACAAAGCCAAUAUUGACGCUGAGGCACGAAAGUGUGGGGAUCAAACAGGAUUAGAUACCCUGGUAGUCCACACU